This 983-nucleotide long non-coding RNA is filed under the name Homo sapiens (human). Its description in RNAcentral is "non-protein coding lnc-XPO7-1:1". The record is from RNAcentral. Lineage: Eukaryota; Metazoa; Chordata; Mammalia; Primates; Hominidae.
CUAGUGUGUUCCUAGCGGGUUCCUUCUCUCGACUCCAUUCCCCAGGAGGGGAGAGGACCCUGUAAGAGCCUGGCCUGGACAGUGGGAAACAGAAGAUGGAAUGAUCACGAUGGACCCAGAGAGCAGGGCCUGCAAACGCUGCACACAACGCCGGCAGCAGAAGGCGAAAGACAGAAAGCCAGCCAGGCGGAAGAGGCUGUAACGAGGAAGGAUGAAAGAGGGAAUUCCUAGAAGAGAAUGAUUGGAUUCCAAGUCUGUGCCACGCUGAAUUUCUAACAGGACACAGCAACUAGGGGUGACCUAAUCAGCAUGCACGUAUCAUACCCAGAGUCCCACACCUGUCGUCUAAAUCCUACAUGUGCACGCUCAAGUAUUUGGUAGUCCCGGCCUGACCACAGCGGGUGGGGCGAGCAGAGGAGAAAGAGGAGGAGUCCCGGGGGCAGCUGGCUCCAAGGGUGGAAGUCAGGGGGCUUGCAGAGGGCAAAGAGAAUCCUUAGGGAUCCCCCGAGAGAGACUCCUGUUCAGGGGGAUCCCUGGGAGCACUCAUCUUGCUGCCAGAAAUCAAUCACUCCAUCAGUCAUGUUGGUUGCCGAAUGAGUAGUACCCUCCUUGCGUCCCCCCACUGUCCUGCCACUGUCUAAUUUAAUUCUGUGGAUGCUCCCAGGGCCUGGCCCUAAACAGAGCCCUCCCCAGGAGGGCUUUAUCUCUGAUGGGAUCCUUUGCAAGGUGCAGACUCAGCGAAGCAGAUCCUGGGUGGUGUGGACUUCCUAGUCCUGCCAACCAAUGCCCAAAAAGGAAGGAGGCUCACGGGGCCAGCUCAGCCCAACUUCCCACUCACAGCAGGGACCCAACAGUGUGGCUGCUUCCACAAACACUUCUCAGACUGCCCGGUGCUUUUUCUAGACCUGUCCUCUCCAAGGCUGCCCUGGGACUUCAUAUCAAGAUGCAGGAGGGGGAGUUUGAGGGGUCGGGCUAGGUCAUCA